This is a long non-coding RNA of Epinephelus fuscoguttatus (brown-marbled grouper), 4026 nucleotides long. RefSeq lists it as uncharacterized. The record is from RefSeq and is a predicted model, not a curated record. NCBI's taxonomy places the organism in Eukaryota, Metazoa, Chordata, Actinopteri, Perciformes, Serranidae. The transcript is spliced from 4 exons.
CACACACACACACACACACACACACACACACACACACACACACACACACACAUAGUACAAUGCAUUACACAAUAUUACAAAAUACAUUGUAGGUGCUGGGCUUCUGGAAUUUUUUUAAGUCAUUACAUUUUCACUUCAGCUGAAGGAUCAAAUGAACAAUUACAAAGGUGGAAUCAGCAUUAAGAGGCAGAGUAUCAUUCACCUCCACAGUCACCAGUUAUUAUUCUAACUGGCAUGUUCUUGGCGUGUGGGAGAACCAGAGAAUUUGGAGAAACCCAUGUUGACACAGGGAGAAAAUGCAAAAAAGAACCAGCUGGCAGGUGUGACUGUCAUUAUCUCACCAGUGCUUCCGUCUAUAUCAUCAGCUCACCAGUUUUUCCCGUUUGCCAGUUCAUGAGAUGUAGAUGCUGUGUACUGGUGUUCCAGCCAUCUGUACCUGUUCCAGUUUUCCUGCCUGGUGUCUGCUCCCUGAGCUCUGGCCUGCUGCCUGUUAACGACCCGCCUGCUUUGCUCGUCUGGAUGUCUUUGCCUGUUGGACUGCCUCCUCCUGCCUGACUACCAGCUCCAUAGUUUGAACACUGAUUUGGAAUGGGAAACAACUUCUGAGCCCAUAAAGGAUGGGAGGUUUCCUGGAUGAGGUGUAAAGGUCAGCUUAGAAAAGAAUAAUCUUAACAAUGUGUUGUAAGACCACGUCAGCCAUGAGACUCAGAUGUGACGCUGGCCUUCAGGAGGAUCUGUCUAUGACCAAAGUGUAACUGCCAGAGCCUUUGUUUGAGUGAAGUGUGCUUGGUGUGUUUUGGUUGUGUCGUCCUCUCCCACUCACAGCACACCUCAUCAUCACCUGCAUCGGCACGCCAGUCUGUCAAUCAAGCCAUCUCCUCUCCACGACCACCACUCUGCACCAGCUUCCAGUCCCCGCCUGACUGAUGUGCCAUACAUGCAAAGCCAGCUUGCUGCUUCGCCAGAUGCCCCCCUGACAAGCCCUCCUUCUCUGGAUAACAGCACCAACCCCUGACAAGGCUCCUGCUCACCUCACCUCUUCCCACCAGUCAGGUUCUUUCUAAAUUAAAAGACUGUCUUUGUGUCUGGGUUUGGGUGCAGCCUCUGUAACGUAACAAACAAAAGAACUGCCCACGGAAAUAUGUUCCGUUUAAACCAGUCACAUCGAUAUUUAUGGAUUGUGAGUUAAUAUUUAGCCAGGUUAUAAACUAAUUUAAAAACAGGUAAAUGUGAAAAAAUAUAUAACACAUGAUGUGAACUGAAUGAAUAAUUUAAAAGUAACACUGUGAGUAUUGUGACAUGAAAGUAUCCUGUCUCAGUUUAUGAGGGUAGAUUUUAAAAUCAGUCAAUGUGAUGUUUGUUGAACUAAAAUGCUAACUAUUUAUAUGCUAACUUAUUUCAGACUGGGGAUUAAAUUCUUCUGUAGAAUGAACAAUUGAGAGUUACUGAGCCAGGAUAAAACACUAGCACGUGUAUCAGAAGAGUUAAAAUCAGGUGCUCAUUUGAGUCGCUAAUAGCACUGUGCUUAGAUUCAAAGUCCUGUGUUGGUUUAUCUAUGAAAAUAAGCAGAGAGCAGAUAAUGAGUCGUGCGGUUUGCAAUUUGUAAGGCAGGUGUUAAGUGGAACAAAAGGGCAUCCCUUCCAAUUAAAAAAAAAAAAAGAAUUAAUUUAAAGUCCUGACAGAUCAGAUUUUGCUCAGUGCAGUCAGGCAAAGAUGCAACAAGUGCCAAGAACGGAUUUUGCAGAACUGGACUUUAAAGCUAAAUAUGCAUAAUCUGUCUGUGUGACACAACUUUUCCACCAACUCUGGUGAAGUCACUACUUUGUAACUGUCAUUGCCGUGCACAGACAUUUUUCAGGGCAGGUGCUAUACUGGACAAAAAGGGCAUGCCUUCCACAAUUUUAUUUGCAUGCACGAAAAAAUGUGCACAUGCAAAGUGCACCCUGCCUGAGGUUUCAGUCUGACAGCACCAGAGGGUUUCUUGUGCUUGAGGCCGAAGCACAUGCAAUGCAUUCGUGCACAGCAUCUGUUUAGCUUACGUAAGAGGUAUUGAAAUAUGCAUAUAUGACGCAACAUGGGAGACAAACUUAAUGUCAGCUUGAGUUUUGGUUUGUAAAGACACAUGGAAGUGGGAAAGCAGUUCAGCGUCUGUCUCCACUCACACUGUGCAGAUGGUGAACCUGAAUCUGGCAGAGUUGGAGGGAGACAGUGUGUCAGACUAGUUCACUUGUUGUAAAUGGUGUGUUAUUGCCUUACUUAGACUAGUUGUGUCGAGACAAUUUAACAGUGGUUUAAUUUCACAACAGUGACAAACAAUGCCGAGGCUUAGGCUAAACAUUGUCACCUGGCUGUCUGUGACAGCAGAUAAAGGAGACGUGAUGCUGCUCUGCAGGGCGCACUAUUUUCAUGCAGCUGCCACAAGGAGGAGGGGCAGGGGCUCGACUCAAAUGCAGCUGUCGGUUACGCAACAUACUUUUGACUAAGAAUUAAUGUCAUGGGCCAAAUUUAAAAAUUAAAAUUAUUAAAAGAACUAGAAAAAAAAUAUUGCAAAAAGGGCACUUACCUGAACAGAGGUCAAAAGGGCAGGUGUUUAGCACCACCUGGCGUCUAUCUGUGCACUUACAUGUAACAUCCGUUGACAUUAUUAUUAUAAGACACACCUCUUGAUCUUGUUUCUCAACAGACAGGUUUCAAGCUUUUAAUCUUUAUACUUUUUACAGAGGAACAUUGAGUGAACAACAAUUCCAUCAUCCAAAUGUAUUCUAAUAACAAGACUGCUAGCAAAAACAAUUUCUCAAUUUUCCAAUAAGAUAUAUUUGAUUAAUACACAAGACCAGCUCGUGUUUUGCAUUUGCAAUUUAAAAAUGACAGUAAGAAUUAUAUCAUAAUGCAUACAAUCUUCACCCAACAUCAAAUAUAACAAAAAAGCUUGUCUCUGUAAGCUCUGCAGUAAGGCACUGUAUGCAUUUUAAUUUAGCACUGAAAAUUCACAACUGCUGAUUUUUGGAUACACUACUCGCUGAGAAUAAGAUGUAAAGUGAAGUUUGUGUUCAAAUUUAUCACAACAACAAAUGAAGGUAUGAAAAACCUUUAGACUCAACAAAGAGAUGUGAAGUGUCACUGUUUUGGCAGCAGACAACAAUGACAGCAGGAAAAGAAAUUAGACUUCCUCUGCCCUCACUGGAAGUCUUUAAGAUUUUCUGCCUCUGGAGAGCCAGCAACAUUUAGAAGGGUCAAACUCUCACCUACCACCUGGAAGGCUCACUUCCAGACUCAAAAACAGCUUCUACCCCAGAGCCAUCAUUAAACUGAACUCCACAAAAACUGCCCCCUCCAGAACACUCCACACCACAGGACUAAAAUGGAAUAGUACAUUUUAAUGGGGAAAUAUGCAAUAACUGUGUAUAAUAAUAAUAAUACAUUUUAUUUCUGCGCCUUUCAUGAUACUCAAGGUCGCCUUACAGAGUAAAAUACAGAGCAAAUACAAUAAAAUACAAAGUACAAGAUAAUUAAACAUUUAACAACAAACAAAUAUCAGUUUAAAAAGCAAACAAAACAAACAUAAACAAAACAUCUGUUCAGGCUUAAAGAGAGUAGGAAAGCCGGAACAGGUGAGUUUUCAGCCUGGAUUUAAAGUGUGGGAGUGAAUCAAUAUUUCAGAGGUCAGGGGGGAGUGAAUUCCAGAGUUGGGGAGCAGAGCGGCUGAAUGCUCUGGUAGUGAGGAGAACGGAGGGGACAGUGAGGUGAAUAGAAGAGGAGGAUCUGAGGGUGCGAGCAGGUAUGGUGAUAGGAAGGAGGUCAGAGAGGUACAGAGGGGCGAGGCUGUGGAUGGCCUUGUAGCUCAGAAGUAUAAUCUUACAAUGGAUGCGGUAGGUGAUGGGGAGCCAGUGGAGCUGCUGUAAGACGGGUGUGAUAUGACAGGUGGACGGGGUGCUAGUGAUAAUACGGACGGCGGAAUUCUGAACCAUCUGCAGUUUAUGGAGGAUUUUCUGAGGGAGACCAAACAGGAGGGAGUUGCAGUAGUCA